Molecule: ribosomal RNA, 515 nt
Filed under: uncultured bacterium
Lineage: Bacteria
Description: bacterial SSU rRNA
Rfam family: Bacterial small subunit ribosomal RNA
Source: RNAcentral
UAGUCCACGCCGUAAACGAUGAUCACUAGAUGUUGGUUUCGCAUAGCGAGAUCAGUGUCAAAGCUAACGCGUUAAGUGAUCCGCCUGGGGAGUACGGUCGCAAGACUAAAACUCAAACGGAAUUGACGGGGGUCCGCACAAGCGGUGGAACAUGUGGUUUAAUUCGACACUACGCGAGAAACCUUACCUAGGCUUGACAUGUGGGUGACAGCUAUAGAGAUAUAGUCUUCCUGGUUUUACCGGGACACUUACACAGGUGCUGCAUGGCUGUCGUCAGCUCGUGUCGUGAGAUGUUGGGUUAAGUCCUUUAACGAGCGCAACCCUUGCCGUUAGUUGCUAGCCUUCGGGCGCACUCUAGCGGGACUGCCUUGGAAACAAGGAGGAAGGUGGGGAUGACGUCAAGUCCUCAUGGCCCUUAUGCCUAGGGCUACACACGUGUUACAAUGGCGAGUACAACGGGGAGCAACACUGCGAAGUGAAGCAAAACCCUUAAAGCCCGUCUAAGUUCGGAUUGG